UAAAUAAAUUAUAAGGUACGCUUCCUACAUACAAACCAUUUAUUAUUAAUAAACAAUCAGGUUUUUGCGUAUGAUUUAAAAACAAAUAGCAUGUGCACAUUUAAUUGAAUUCUUCCUUAAAUUGCUCUUGUACGAAUGCGCAUCCUAUUAUUGUAAUAUUUGUAAUUUAAAAAAUGGUAGUAAUACAAAAAAUACUUUUCGUAAUCGUAAUAUUUUUAAUAUUACUAAAAGUUUCAAGUGAAGCACGUUGCAGGUUGUCCAGACGACGAAGAUGCGUCUAUACGAUCAGAAAUUAAAAUCACGUUAGUACGUAAUAAAGAGUGGCGAAUUAUUUAGUUAUGUUGUAGAUUGCAAAAACCGAAUAUGUACAAGAUUCAUUUGUUGUUGUUAAAUGCAGUAACUGAAUUGUUACAAUAAAGAGAAUGUGCACUUA
Agrilus planipennis (emerald ash borer) is the source of this 433-nucleotide long non-coding RNA. RefSeq lists it as uncharacterized. The transcript has 2 exons. NCBI's taxonomy places the organism in Eukaryota, Metazoa, Arthropoda, Insecta, Coleoptera, Buprestidae. The record is from RefSeq and is a predicted model, not a curated record.